This 479-nucleotide ribosomal RNA is filed under the name uncultured bacterium. RNAcentral's name for it is "partial 16S ribosomal RNA". It matches the Rfam family "Bacterial small subunit ribosomal RNA", at positions 28 to 507 of the family's 1533-position model. The record is from RNAcentral.
GAUGAACGCUAGCGGGAGGCCUAACACAUGCAAGCCGAGCGGUAUUGUUUCUUCGGAAAUGAGAGAGCGGCGUACGGGUGCGUAACAUGUGUGCAACCUGCCUUUAUCUGGGGGAUAGCCUUUCGAAAGGAAGAUUAAUACUCCAUAAUAUAUUGAACGGCAUCGUUUAAUAUUGAAAGCUCCGGCGGAUAGAGAUGGGCACGCGCAAGAUUAGCUAGUUGGUGAGGUAACGGCUCACCAAGGCGAUGAUCUUUAGGGGGCCUGAGAGGGUGAUCCCCCACACUGGUACUGAGACACGGACCAGACUCCUACGGGAGGCAGCAAUGAGGAAUAUUGGUCAAUGGGUGCAAGCCUGGACCAGCCAUCCCGCGUGAAGGACGACUGCCCUAUGGGUUGUAAACUUCUUUUGUAUAGGGAUAAACCUACCCUCGUGAGGGUAGCUGAAGGUACUAUACGAAUAAGCACCGGCUAACUCCGUG